Molecule: ribosomal RNA, 243 nt
Filed under: uncultured bacterium
Lineage: Bacteria
Description: partial 16S ribosomal RNA
Source: RNAcentral
CUGCUGCCUUCCGUAGGAGUUUGGACCGUGUCUCAGUUCCAAUGUGGCCGAUCACCCUCUCAGGUCGGCUACUGAUCGUCGCCUUGGUGAGCCGUUACCUCACCAACAAGCUAAUCAGACGCGAGCUCAUCCUUAUCCGAUAAAUCUUUGAUGGAAAGAAGAUGCCUUCAAACCAUAUUAUGCGGUAUUAUCAGUCGUUUCCAACUGUUAUCCCCCAGAUAAGGGCAGAUUGCUCACGCGUUA